This 459-nucleotide ribosomal RNA is filed under the name uncultured bacterium. RNAcentral describes it as "partial 16S ribosomal RNA". It matches the Rfam family "Bacterial small subunit ribosomal RNA", at positions 338 to 795 of the family's 1533-position model. The record is from RNAcentral.
CCUACGGGUGGCAGCAGUGAGGAAUAUUGGUCAAUGGCCGAGAGGCUGAACCAGCCAAGUCGCGUGAGGGAAGAAUGUCCUAUGGAUUGUAAACCUCUUUUGUCAGGGAGCAAAGUCACCCACGUGUGGGUGUUGGAGAGUACCUGAAGAAAAAGCAUCGGCUAACUCCGUGCCAGCAGCCGCGGUAAUACGGAGGAUGCGAGCGUUAUCCGGAUUUAUUGGGUUUAAAGGGUGCGUAGGCGGGUUAUCAAGUCAUCGGUAAAAUCGUGGUGCUCAACUCCAUCCAGCCGUGGAAACUGAUGAUCUUGAGUGGGCGAGAGGUAUGCGGAAUGCGUGGUGUAGCGGUGAAAGGCAUAGAUAUCACGCAGAACCCCGAUGGCGAAGGCAGCUUGCCGGGUUGCGACUGACGCUGAGGCUCGAAGGUGCGGGUAUCAAACAGGAUUAGAUACCCCAGUAGUC